AUGGGUAUCAUGACACCACAAGAGAAACAUCCUCACUGGGAGUCAAAGCACAGGUUAUGGACAAGAAGGCCAGGUCUGAAUGAAACAGAUGUCAUCCUUCCAGACAAAACAAGAACCCGCACACUGUCCUUUGCACCUCUGAGGUGGAUGCUUCUAAUAUGGAAGGAACAUCAUGCAGUCCACAAGAACAACAGCUCUGUCCAUUGGCAAAAUGGAUUUGCAGCCCUCAGGAGACGAGGCCACAGGGUGAGACAGUGAGAGGCUGGAGAAACCUCCAGUGCCUGAGGCUGUUUGGAAAAGUGACAGAGGCUUGGUGGGACACACCCAGGAGAUCCCCAUAGGUCUUUCCUUCCUGAUCCUGUACUCAAAUCCUGGAUAAACAACAGUUGCACUUUCACAUCUGGUAACCAGGAAUUGCUGCAGCUGGAGGUGGC
RNAcentral lists this long non-coding RNA (434 nucleotides) under Struthio camelus australis. RNAcentral's name for it is "lncRNA (ENSSCUG00000016856.1)". The record is from RNAcentral. Lineage: Eukaryota; Metazoa; Chordata; Aves; Struthioniformes; Struthionidae.